Homo sapiens (human) is the source of this 1212-nucleotide long non-coding RNA. Ensembl annotates it as long intergenic non-protein coding RNA 293. NCBI's taxonomy places the organism in Eukaryota, Metazoa, Chordata, Mammalia, Primates, Hominidae. The record is from Ensembl.
GAUAUGUCACUGAAACCAGCAUCCAGGUGGUAUUGCUCCAUAUGCCUGAGACCCUAACAAAAGCCUAAUUACAACUCAUAUGCCUGGAGCCAGGACAUGUGCAGGAUGGUGAUGUAACUUUCCUCUCUGGAAUGGGUCCUGCACAAAGGAAUGAUAGUAACAUAUUGCAAAGCCAGACACACAGCCAUGAUGGUCCAAGUUAUAUUGGGAUUCAGCCAAUAGAAGAUAUUUUGCCUGUCAUCCCUAAGCUUAGGACAAUAGACUCUGCCAAGAGAGGGGAUUAUUACAUAUUGCAGAGCCCAGCACCUAGGUGGAGUGACUCUCAUCUUUUUCUUCUACCCCGUAUAUAGCCAGCUUGGUGACCUACUAUUUGAGUCUAUACCCAGGCCCAGACCACAGAUGAAAUUGUGCAAUAUGUGGAACAAACACCUAAACAAUAUAUAACACCUUCCUUGGCUCUGUCUACAAAGGGCACUUUUAUAUAUCACUGGGACCAUCAACCAGGUGAUGUUAAUUAUCUUCCUGAAACCUGUCUACAAAGAGAGUUGUGUCGUAUACCUAGGCCCGUCAUGUAAGUGAUGUCAGUCCCUUCUACUGCCUUGGCCCUGCACUUACAGUGCAUUGUGACACAUAACAAGGUGAUGUUGUGCCAUAUAACUGAGACCGUAUCAAAAGCCUAAUAACAAGACGUAUGUCUGGAGCCCCGAUAUGCACAGGAUGGUGAUAUAACCCUCUUCUCUGGAAUGGGCCCCACACAAAGGAAGGAUAGUGACAUAUUGCAAGCCCAGGCACACAGGCCCAGAGCACAGUUGAAAUUGUGACAUAUGUACACCAAGCAACCAAGCAAUGUAUAACACCUCAUUUGGCAAUGGAAUCGAGGGCACUUUUACAUAUCACUGAGACCAGCGCCCAGCUGAUGUGAAAUAUUGGCCUGAACCCUGCCUACAAAAGCAUUGUGGCUUUUAUCUAGCUCCAUUACAUAAGUGAUGUGACUUCCUUCUACUGCCUUGGCCCUGCACUUAUGGUGAAUCGUGACACAAAAUUGGGUAGAGCAACCAGCCUGGGCCCUGACCAGCACAGAGAUUGAGGCAUAUUGCUGAACCCAGGACCAAGAUGAAGUCACUCUCCUGCCUUGAUCCUGCACACAGGGACCCUUGUGACAUAUAUACAGGCCAAUUGCCUAGGUGAUGUUGUGCAAUAUACCUGAGACCA